AUGUGUAUGUGUUAGCAGCGGUGAUGUGGACACAUCCCCAUAACACCAAGCAAACCUUGGGAUACCAGCUGGGUGUCCUACAAUUCAACCCAUUCUGACACUACCUACCCAGAGAUAGCAUCAGAUUCCACAGGUUGAGGGUUCGGUCCUGUAAGACUGACCCCCACCCCCAGAUGUCAGUCAUAAGCCCAGGCUGUUAACUGCGCUCUGACCAACCAACUACAGAUUGGAGGUUGACACAGACCCUUCCUUGAGUUUAAUUGAUUUGCUAGAGUGGCUCACAGAACUCAGGAAACCUGUUAUAUUACUGAACGUGAAAGCUAAGUCAGUCGUAUCUGACUCCUUGAAACCCCAUGGACUGUAGCCUGGCAGGCUCCUCCAUCCAUGGGAUUAUCCAGGCAAAAUACUGGAAUGGGUUGCCAUUUCCUUCUCCAGAGGAUCUUCCCAACCCAGGGAUCAAACUCGGGUCUCCUUCAUUGCAGACAGACUCUACCGUCUGAGCCUGUAAAAGGGUAUAAUUUAGGAGAAACCAGAUUGAAGAGAUGCAUGGGGUGAAGCAUGUGGGAAGGGGAGUGGAGCUUCCAUGCAAUCUUGAAGUCACCUAGUCUCCCCAAAUCUCCAUGUGUUCACCAAUCCAGAAGCUCUGCACGCCCUGUCUUUUGAGGUUUUUAUGGCGGCUCCAUUACAUAGGCAUGAUUGAUUACAUCAUUGGCCAUCGUUAUCUGUGGACAUCUUGGCACCUCUACAAACUAUAAUCUCCCUGAAGCCUGAAUGAGCCUGGAAGAAGGGGCCCCUAAACCUCACAAGAUGGAUCACAGCUCCAACUAACAAGUUAAUUUCAGCCUGGUGAGAUCCUGAGCAGAAUGCCCAGGUAAACCCUGUCCAGAAUCCAGACCCUAGACCCUCAGAAACUGUCAGUUAAUAAACAUUCUGCUCCAAGCCACAAAAUUUCUGGUAAUUCAUUUCUUGGCAAUAGAAAGCUAAUUCACACCCAGUAGUCAGUGUAAUCAAUGGGCUGAUAAGCAAGAGCUCGGAGGCAGAUGCCCAUUUGUCUUUGUCAACAAACAUAAUAAAGACCGUUUCACCAAAGCUGCGUGGUCAAGGCUGCAUAUGCAGUUAUCAAAGUUGAACAUGGAACAGCCUUGGGCGCACCCUGGGAGAUGAAGCCAGCAGAACAAGGGAAGCAGAGAUCAGUGCGUUCAAGUCCCAGAUUUCAUUCUCUCUUGCCCGCCUCAGAGUCUGGUCAUCUUAAGUUCUUUGAAGGCAUCCCCUGGAUUGGCACUCGUGCCAUCGCUCCUCCUCCCAGACUAGUAAACAGCAUCACUGGGAUUUACGCAGUCUAGCGCCGGAGUCUGUUCUCCUGACCAUUAAUCACAAAAAGAGCUUUAGGAUCUCCUUGCUCAUUGACUCACUGGAGAAGGCAAUGGCAACCGACUCCAGUACUCUUGCCUGGAAAAUCCCAUGGACGGAAGAGCCUGGUAGGCUGCAGUCCAUGGGGUCGCUAAGAGUCGGACACGACUGAGCGACUUCACUUCACUUUGCUCACUGACUAAAUAAUUAAUUUUGCCUUAUUUGUUAUAGUUUAGAGCAGCUGUGGCUAGGCCAAGGAGAUGAAUAUAACUUAAAAAGUACAGAUAUUUAGGUACUACC
Bos taurus (domestic cattle) is the source of this 1650-nucleotide long non-coding RNA. NCBI's taxonomy places the organism in Eukaryota, Metazoa, Chordata, Mammalia, Artiodactyla, Bovidae. The record is from Ensembl.